UAUUGCUGACUCAGUGUGACGGUGGUGUGUUUGUGUAGUGUGGGUGUCGGUCGGGGGGGGGGGCAUAAGGGCUGACACAUCUCUGGUCGUGGCUUUUGUGAGUCACUUGACCUGCUGCAACUUUGAUCCCUCAGAAUGUUAACUUGUGUCCUUCUUUUCUUAUCGUGAUAGUAAACGUGCAUCUCACAUUUUCAUUACUUUAGAAUUACGCCUCCGGUUCUUUCUUUUAAAGUUUGUCACUUUGUGAUCUGAGAUACAGCUUGCCUGUUUUAUAUUGCUGGGCAGUUUCAGAGUUCGUACUCAUAUCCCUCUGCAUGUGCGUGUUACCUAGGCUCUGAAAUCCAUUGGGAAUAAAGUGCGGUGACAGCGCGUGUGAGGAGGGCCCAAGAAGACCAAGAUGGAGGACGCUAGAGAGCUUCCCUCAUCCUCCCUCAUGUACCUAACUGAUCCCAGGCCGCUGGUAGUUGAGACAGACUCUACACCUGCCUCCCCAUGCCCUGAUCCCAGGCCUGCGCUAGUGGAUGCAGACUUUACACCAGCCUCCCCAUGCCCUGAUCCCAGGCCUGCGCUAGUGGAUACAGACUCUACACCA
Molecule: long non-coding RNA, 592 nt
Filed under: Oncorhynchus kisutch (coho salmon)
Lineage: Eukaryota; Metazoa; Chordata; Actinopteri; Salmoniformes; Salmonidae
Description: lncRNA (ENSOKIG00005013439.1)
Source: RNAcentral